UGAGUAACCUGCCCUGGACUUUGGGAUAACCCUCGGAAACGGGGGCUAAUACCGGAUAUGACAUGCUCUCGCAUGGGGGUGUGUGAAAAGUUUUUCGGUCUGGGGUGGGCCCGCGGCCUAUCAGCUUGUUGGCGGGGUAACGGCCCACCAAGGCGACGACGGGUAGCCGGCCUGAGAGGGCGACCGGCCACACUGGGACUGAGACACGGCCCAGACUCCUACGGGAGGCAG
Molecule: ribosomal RNA, 231 nt
Filed under: uncultured bacterium
Lineage: Bacteria
Description: partial 16S ribosomal RNA
Rfam family: Bacterial small subunit ribosomal RNA
Source: RNAcentral